GACGAACGCUGGCGGCGUGCUUAACACAUGCAAGUCGAACGGAAAGGCCCCUUUUGGGGUACUCGAGUGGCGCACGGGGGUGUAACACGUCAGUAACCUUCCCUUGACUUCGGGGAAAACUUCGGGAAAUGGGGCCUAUUACCGCAAGGAAUCCUUGCUGCAUGGUGGGGGUUGGUAAGCUUCGGCGGUUUUGGAUGGGCUUGCGGCGUAUCAGCUUGUUGGUGGGGUAGUGGCUUACCAAGGCGUUGACCGGUAGCCGGACUGAGAGGGCGACCGGCCACACUGGGACUGAGAGACGGCCCAGACGCCGACGGGUGGCAGAAGGGGGGAAGAUUGAACAAUGGGCGGCAGCCGGAUGCAGAAACGCCGCGUGCGGGAUGACGGUCUUCGGGUUGGAAAACGGUUUUAGCAGGGGCGAAGCUUGUGGUGACGGUACCUGCAGAAGAAGCACCGGCUAACUACGUG
This 465-nucleotide ribosomal RNA is filed under the name uncultured bacterium. RNAcentral describes it as "partial 16S ribosomal RNA". It matches the Rfam family "Bacterial small subunit ribosomal RNA", at positions 28 to 507 of the family's 1533-position model. The record is from RNAcentral.